GGGCAGUUGGUGCUAGGAGCCAGGUGCCAACUCCCCAUUCUGUGAGCAGGGGGCAGGGACAAGGACACACACUGAUUGUCCCACAGAGCCAUACAGGCAUUUAUUACACCACAUCCUGCCAGUGCUGUCCCUUUUGGGGGACAGUGGGGACACAGCCUGGGCACUGGUGGCCUCAUGGCACACCAAUGCCUGGGUCUGGUCCCUCUGAGGCGAGCUCCUGGUGGCCCCUGGGGGGCUCACAUGUGAGUGCCCAGGGUGCUGAUGUAUGCCUGCAAUGCUUGAAGCCGGGCAUCGAUUUCAGACAGAGUGGCUGAGGGCUCUGUGCCCAGGUUCUCUUUCCCAUGCUGUUUGCAGCCCCUAUUCGGGUGAGAUGCCACACUAGUGCUGUUGCAGGAUGAAGCACUCAGUGGACUCCGGGUGCUAGGACCCCCCAAGCCCCUGCGGCGCUGGGGACAUGUGUCAGCCUCGCUGCCCGAGCUCUGUGCUGAGCGCCGGCUCUGGAGACUUUCAGCUGAAGAGCUGCGCCUGCCCCUCCUCCUACAGUUGUCACCACUUGACACCGUCCCACGUGGCAGCUUCUGCCUUCGGAGCUCAGCCUCCUGCCGCCGUUGCUCGCGGGAUCUCACAAAGGCUGUGGGGUUGAAGCGUGGUGGCCGUGAGCCUGCAGGAGAUGGGGACCGUGGUGGCAGGCGGCCUUGGCUGCUACUACGGCUGUCCCGGGAGUUAGAGCGGCGGCGAUCCUGUGGGCAGCCUGGUGCUGUGGCUGAUGUGCUGCGCCCUUUUCUGCAUACCGCCAGCUCAGCCGUCAGUGUCUUCACAUGCGCCCGCAGCAUCUUUUCAGCCGCCUUCACCUCUGUCAGCUCCUUGGUCAUCCGCCGCUGCUCCUGCUGAUGCCAGGCCUUGUCCCGCAGCCGUUCAUCCUCCAGCCUCCACACCUCCUGCUGUGCCCGCCGCAGCUCAUCCCGCAGCUGUGCCAGCUCAUCCUGCUGCUCCUGCACCAGGCGUCGCAAUGCAGCCAUGUCUGCCUCACCAAUGUAGGGCAACGGCAGCGGGUAGUGGAU
This 1061-nucleotide long non-coding RNA is filed under the name Gallus gallus (chicken). The record is from RNAcentral. Lineage: Eukaryota; Metazoa; Chordata; Aves; Galliformes; Phasianidae.